RNAcentral lists this long non-coding RNA (373 nucleotides) under Lupinus angustifolius (narrow-leaved blue lupine). RNAcentral's name for it is "long non-coding RNA (LANG_LNC002130)". The record is from RNAcentral. Lineage: Eukaryota; Viridiplantae; Streptophyta; Magnoliopsida; Fabales; Fabaceae.
UUUACAAAGCAGGAUGAGCUAUAGCUUAUGAUGCUUGGAGUGUUUAUAGCCACCGGGUACUGCAUAACAUCACAGAAAGCUUCUGUUCUUGGAUCCCCCACCUAGGAUUUAUUGCUUGUGUUUGUAUGUUCUCAAAUGAUAUUGUUACUGCAGCAAUAAGACCAAUAUUAACGAAUGCAAACAAUAAACUAAAUUCAGAGAACAAAAUAGUUUGUAUUAAAGUAGGUAUGGCUAAAGAACAAAAAAGGUUAUUCGUAUACCCUCCCUUACGAACUGUCCAACUGACUGAUUUUUGUGGAAACAGAGUUGCAUAAAGUCUCACAAUGCAGGGAACCAAUCGGCCUUCUCAACGCAAUGCUCCUCAUAAAAUNNN